Molecule: ribosomal RNA, 494 nt
Filed under: uncultured bacterium
Lineage: Bacteria
Description: partial 16S ribosomal RNA
Rfam family: Bacterial small subunit ribosomal RNA
Source: RNAcentral
GACGAACGCUGGCGGCGUGCUUAACACAUGCAAGUCGAACGGAAAGGCCUGCUUUCCCUUGUGGAUUGCGGGUACUCGAGUGGCGAACGGGUGAGUAACACGUGAGUGAUCUGCCCCCAACUUGGGUAUAAGCCUGGGAAACUGGGUCUAAUUCCCGAUAGGACUGCAGGGUGGUGCCUGUGGUGGAAAACGAUUUUCUAGUGGUUGGGGAUGAGCUCGCGGCCUAUCAGCUUGUUGGUGGGGUAAUGGCCUACCAAGGCGGCGACGGGUAGCCGGCCUGGGAGGGUGGACGGCCACAUUGGGACUGAGAUCCGGCCCAGACUCCGACGGGAGGCAGCAGUGGGGAAUAUUGCGCAAUGGGCGGAAGCCUGAUGCAGCGACGCCGCGUGGGGGAUGACGGCCUUCGGGUUGUAAACUCCUUUCGACCGCGAGGAAGCCACCUGGUUGGAAGGGUGGUGACGGUAGUGGUAGAAGAAGCACCGGCUAACUACGUG